GUGCUCACUUUGGCAGUACAUGUACUAAAACCGGAAUGAUACAAAGAAGAUUAACAUGGCCUCUACACAAAGAUGACAUGCAAAUUCACGAAGCAUUCCCUAUUUUU
Molecule: small nuclear RNA, 107 nt
Organism: Pteronotus mesoamericanus
Lineage: Eukaryota; Metazoa; Chordata; Mammalia; Chiroptera; Mormoopidae
Source: RefSeq, a predicted model, not a curated record